This 479-nucleotide ribosomal RNA is filed under the name uncultured fungus. RNAcentral describes it as "SSU rRNA". It matches the Rfam family "Eukaryotic small subunit ribosomal RNA", at positions 288 to 784 of the family's 1831-position model. The record is from RNAcentral. Lineage: Eukaryota; Fungi.
CGAUGCUUCAUUCAAAUUCUGCCUAUCAACUUUCGAUGGUGGAUGAGGCCUACCAUGGUUUCAACGGGUACGGGGAAUAGGGUUCGAUUCCGGAGAGGGAGCUGAGAAACGGUACACAUCCAAGGAAGGCAGCAGGCGCGCAAAUUACCCAAUCCCGACACGGGGAGGUAGUGACAAUAAUACAAUAUGGGCUCUUUCGGGUCUUAUAUUGGAAUGAGUCAAUUUAAAUCCCUUAACGAGGAACAAUUGGAGGGCAAGUCUGGUGCCAGCAGCCGCGGUAUUCCAGCUCCAAUAGCGUAUAUUAAAGUUGUUGCAGUUAAAAAGCUCGUAGUUGAAUUUUAGGCCUGGUUGGACGGUCUGCUCUAGGGUUUGUACUGUCCUGACUGGGUCUUACCUUCUGGUGAGCUGUCGUAUUGUUUACUCAGUGCGGCAGGGAACCAGGACUUUUACUUUGAAAAAAUUAGAGUGUUUAAAGCAGG